GCAUCGAAAAAGAAACGAAAACUGAAUAGCGAUAUCCUGCAGUCACCUCCUGGUUUGCAUAGAAUUUAUCCUACAGUAACCUGUCCCUCUCCAAGAACCCAAAGCUCUGGAUAAGGUCAAAGGAUGCUGAAGUAAUAGUGUUGUAGCAAUGUAGAAUACUAAGAAUCUAUAGCCAGCCAUCAUGACUGGUUCUCUUUUUGCAUGUGUACGUAACUUUGUUU
This 221-nucleotide long non-coding RNA is filed under the name Theobroma cacao (cacao). RNAcentral describes it as "long non-coding RNA (TCAC_LNC000652)". The record is from RNAcentral. Lineage: Eukaryota; Viridiplantae; Streptophyta; Magnoliopsida; Malvales; Malvaceae.